RNAcentral lists this long non-coding RNA (203 nucleotides) under Elaeis guineensis (African oil palm). RNAcentral's name for it is "long non-coding RNA (EGUI_LNC078820)". The record is from RNAcentral. Lineage: Eukaryota; Viridiplantae; Streptophyta; Magnoliopsida; Arecales; Arecaceae.
UUGGCUAUUCUCGGCUGGAUAUAGUGGUUCAAUUGUAUCAGGAGAGAAAUAACAACUCUAUUGGCAUCAGAUACUAUGGGGUAGAGAUAGGGUUGGGCUUAAUAACUGUUAGAUGAUGGUCUCAAUGAUAAUUUUAUUCACACUCAAUGGUAGGUUUAACUUAACUAGAAAAUGAGAUCAAUAACUGUCAGAUGAGAUUUUAG